This 501-nucleotide ribosomal RNA is filed under the name uncultured bacterium. RNAcentral describes it as "partial 16S ribosomal RNA". It matches the Rfam family "Bacterial small subunit ribosomal RNA", at positions 355 to 844 of the family's 1533-position model. The record is from RNAcentral.
UGGGGAAUUUUGGACAAUGGGCGAAAGCCUGAUCCAGCAAUGCCGCGUGUGUGAAGAAGGCCUUCGGGUUGUAAAGCACUUUUGUCCGGAAAGAAAUCCUUGGCUCUAAUACAGUCGGGGGAUGACGGUACCGGAAGAAUAAGCACCGGCUAACUACGUGCCAGCAGCCGCGGUAAUACGUAGGGUGCAAGCGUUAAUCGGAAUUACUGGGCGUAAAGCGUGCGCAGGCGGUUUGCUAAGACCGAUGUGAAAAUCCCCGGGCUCAACCUGGGAACUGCAUUGGUGACUGGCAGGCUAGAGUAUGGCAGAGGGGGGUAGAAUUCCACGUGUAGCAGUGAAAUGCGUAGAGAUGUGGAGGAAUACCGAUGGCGAAGGCAGCCCCCUGGGCCAAAUACUGACGCUCAUGCACGAAAAGCGUGGGGAGCAAAACAGGAUUAGAUACCCUGGUAGUCCACGCCCUAAAACGAUGUCAACUAGUUGUUGGGGAUUCAUUUCCUUAGU